Non-coding RNA from Podarcis lilfordi (Lilford's wall lizard), 78 nucleotides. The record is from the annotation of a GenBank genome assembly. Lineage: Eukaryota; Metazoa; Chordata; Lepidosauria; Squamata; Lacertidae.
GGAAGAGCCAUAGCUCAGUGGGAGAGCAUCUGCUGUGCAUGCAGAAGAUCCCAUGUUCAAUCCCCAGCAACAUUUCCA